GUGGGGAAUUUUGGACAAUGGGCGCAAGCCUGAUCCAGCAAUGCCGCGUGUGUGAAGAAGGCCUUCGGGUUGUAAAGCACUUUUGUCCGGAAAGAAAUCUCCUGGGUUAAUACCUCGGGGGGAUGACGGUACCGGAAGAAUAAGCACCGGCUAACUACGUGCCAGCAGCCGCGGUAAUACGUAGGGUGCGAGCGUUAAUCGGAAUUACUGGGCGUAAAGCGUGCGCAGGCGGCUAUGCAAGACAGAUGUGAAAUCCCCGGGCUCAACCUGGGAACUGCCUCCAAAACUGCAGGACUAGAGUGCGUCAGAGGGGGGUGGAAUUCCGCGUGUAGCAGUGAAAUGCGUAGAGAUGCGGAGGAACACCGAUGGCGAAGGCAGCCCCCUGGGAUGACACUGACGCUCAUGCACGAAAGCGUGGGGAGCAAACAGGAUUAGAUACCCGGGUAGUCC
RNAcentral lists this ribosomal RNA (450 nucleotides) under uncultured bacterium. RNAcentral's name for it is "bacterial SSU rRNA". It matches the Rfam family "Bacterial small subunit ribosomal RNA", at positions 354 to 796 of the family's 1533-position model. The record is from RNAcentral.